CUAUGCGCCUUGCCAGCCCGCUCAGGUGUGCCAGCAGCCGCGUAAUACGGAGGAUGCGAGCGUUAUCCGGAUUUAUUGGGUUUAAAGGGUGCGUAGGUGGUUAAUUAAGUCAGCGGUGAAAGUUUGUGGCUCAACCAUAAAAUUGCCGUUGAAACUGGUUGACUUGAGUAUAUUUGAGGUAGGCGGAAUGCGUGGUGUAGCGGUGAAAUGCAUAGAUAUCACGCAGAACUCCGAUUGCGAAGGCAGCUUACUAAACUAUAACUGACACUGAAGCACGAAAGCGUGGGGAUCAAACAGG
RNAcentral lists this ribosomal RNA (298 nucleotides) under uncultured bacterium. RNAcentral's name for it is "partial 16S ribosomal RNA". It matches the Rfam family "Bacterial small subunit ribosomal RNA", at positions 475 to 776 of the family's 1533-position model. The record is from RNAcentral.